GCUUUAUAUACUUUAAUUCAUUCAGUCCUCACAGCCACCUUUAGAGUAGGUAUUAUUGUUAUACUUACAGGGGAGGAGACUUGGCCAGAUCUCACUGCUAGUGACAGACACAGGAGGAAUUACAGCAACUAAUUACAUUCAGCAUGCUCAGGUACCAGGCAUAUGGCAACACACAGUGGGCAUAAAGGCAAUGCGUACCAGACACUUACAAGCCAGGCACUCUGCAUGCACUUGCCAUGGAUUGCUUUCAUUCUCAAAAUGAUGGCACAAUAGAAGCAUUAUUGCAACUCCCUUGUAUCUGAGAAAACUGAGGUCCAGGGAGGAUAAAUCACCCCCCACAUCAUAGAGGUAGGAAGGAUUUAGUUUUAUCUCUUCAUUCCUCCACAGCCUGGGGCCUGGAAUGAGAGCCCAGGGAGGAGAGCACAGGGCCUGGGACUGAUCUGCUCUGGAUUUCAGUGGAGUAGGAGUGGGCCAGAGGGGUUCAGUGCCUCAACACGGAUGAAGGAGGAGAACGUGCUGAGAUGGGGAAUAGUGAUUGUAUUUCUGAAAACCGACAGAGGAUGGGAAACUUGUCAUGGUCCUGCAUCAACGGUGCUGACAACUUUCUCCACGCUUGGGACCCCAGUCCUUUGAAUGUUGCUGAAGUUGAAUCUGUUCUCUUGUCAUCUACAUCUCCCUGCUGACUCAUUCUGGACCCACUUUGACUAAAACCCCCAGCAUUUUCAUACCAG
Molecule: long non-coding RNA, 731 nt
Filed under: Fukomys damarensis (Damara mole-rat)
Lineage: Eukaryota; Metazoa; Chordata; Mammalia; Rodentia; Bathyergidae
Description: lncRNA (ENSFDAG00000025320.1)
Source: RNAcentral